RNAcentral lists this ribosomal RNA (419 nucleotides) under uncultured bacterium. Its description in RNAcentral is "bacterial SSU rRNA". It matches the Rfam family "Bacterial small subunit ribosomal RNA", at positions 356 to 773 of the family's 1533-position model. The record is from RNAcentral.
AAGGAAUAUUGGUCAAUGGACGCAAGUCUGAACCAGCCAUGCCGCGUGAAGGAAGAAGGCCUUCUGGGUUGUAAACUGCUUUUGCCAGGGGAUAAAAUGGGCGUGCGCGCUUAAUUGAAGGUACCUGGUGAAUAAGCCACGGCUAACUACGUGCCAGCAGCCGCGGUAAUACGUAGGUGGCAAGCGUUGUCCGGAUUUAUUGGGUUUAAAGGGUGCGUAGGUGGUCCCAUAAGUCAGUGCUGAAAUAUCCCGGCUUAACCGGGAGGGUGGCAUUGAUACUGCGGGACUUGAGUAAAGUUGAGGUAGGCGGAAUUGACGGUGUAGCGGUGAAAUGCUUAGAUAUCGUCAAGAACACCUAUUGCGAAGGCAGCUUACUAAGCUUUAACUGACACUGAGGCACGAAAGUGUGGGGAUCAAAC